This 247-nucleotide long non-coding RNA is filed under the name Trifolium pratense (red clover). Its description in RNAcentral is "long non-coding RNA (TPRA_LNC012899)". The record is from RNAcentral. Lineage: Eukaryota; Viridiplantae; Streptophyta; Magnoliopsida; Fabales; Fabaceae.
AAUUAUGAUCAAAAUACUUUUUGUGUUGUUCUACAUAUAUGUUUUGGACUUAAGUUUUGUGUGGGUUUCUUUAUUGUAUUAUUUACAUAUAAAUUCACCAUGUGAUAUAAGAAUGGUAUGCUGUGCAAGUUCGUGUGAUGAUUAUGCUUGGAAGACUUCUUUUAUUGCUCAUUGGUAUAAAUAAGGGAAAUAUAAAUAAAAGUGUAGGGAGGAAUAGUUAUGUGACAGGUUAGGUUGGUCUUGUUAA